GAUGAAGAACGUAGCGAAAUGCGAUAAGUAAUGUGAAUUGCAGAAUUCAGUGAAUCAUCGAAUCUUUGAACGCACAUUGCGCCCGCCAGUAUUCUGGCGGGCAUGCCUGUUCGAGCGUCAUUUCAACCAUCAAGCCCCAGGCUUGUGUUGGGGACCUGCGGCUGCCGCAGGCCCUGAAAACCAGUGGCGGGCUCGGUGUCACACCGGGCGUAGUAGAUUUUAUCUCGCUCAGGGCGUGCUGCGGGUUCCGGCCGUUAAAAAGCCUUUUUUACCCAAGGUUGACCUCGGAUCAGGUAGGAAGACCCGCUGAACUUAAGCAUAUCAAUAAGCGAGGA
RNAcentral lists this unclassified non-coding RNA (335 nucleotides) under soil metagenome. RNAcentral describes it as "partial contains 5.8S ribosomal RNA, internal transcribed spacer 2, and large subunit ribosomal RNA". The stretch from base 1 to 120 matches the Rfam family "5.8S ribosomal RNA", at positions 35 to 154 of the family's 154-position model. The record is from RNAcentral.